Molecule: ribosomal RNA, 253 nt
Filed under: uncultured bacterium
Lineage: Bacteria
Description: partial 16S ribosomal RNA
Rfam family: Bacterial small subunit ribosomal RNA
Source: RNAcentral
UACGUAGGGUGCGAGCGUUAAUCGGAAUUACUGGGCGUAAAGCGUGCGCAGGCGGUGAUGUAAGACCGAUGUGAAAUCCCCGGGCUUAACCUGGGAACUGCAUUGGUGACUGCAUUGCUCGAGUAUGGCAGAGGGGGGUGGAAUUCCACGUGUAGCAGUGAAAUGCGUAGAGAUGUGGAGGAACACCGAUGGCGAAGGCAGCCUCCUGGGCCAGCACUGACGCUCAUGCACGAAAGCGUGGGGAGCGAACAGG